UUUAGUAGUUUAAAUAAAUGGUUCAGUUAGAUAAUCCUCUGAUUGCUUGACUGUUGUGAAUUGGUUUUAGUUGUGGAUGUUUUCGUUAUUUAUGCUUGUGAUUGUGGAUCUGAGAUUGGAGUUUAUGGAUUCAUGGUUCUAGUUUUAUGGUUUUUGGUCCGUGGAUUUGCGUAUUUUACGGAUUUAUACAUUGUGGAUUUCUACCCCUCGAGGUAGCUGGUUUUCAAAAUAGAGUUUCCGUGUGGGAAACAGUUUUCAAAAGAUUUCGAAUGGUUUUCAUGAAUGAAAGAAUUAGAUUUUAAAAAUAACGCUUCCGGGUGGGGAGCACUUUUAAAUAAGAUGAUUGUUGUACUGUGCAUUGCAUCAUCCAGCGCCUAAGGAGUGCUUAGAGGCAUGCAUCAUCUCUAAGGAUUAUUAGCUGUAUGAAAAUGCAUAUCAUGAAUUGGUUGUUGAUUGGUAAUUAUAGAUUGUAGUUGAGAUCCUGUUGUAUCGUUGGUACGCCGUGCAAAUACAAGAGAGACUCUGUCCGAGAGGACGGAGGAAAUUUGUAUUUGUGGCGGAUCUGUACAUCGCCUGGG
RNAcentral lists this long non-coding RNA (578 nucleotides) under Ananas comosus (pineapple). Its description in RNAcentral is "long non-coding RNA (ACOM_LNC012111)". The record is from RNAcentral. Lineage: Eukaryota; Viridiplantae; Streptophyta; Magnoliopsida; Poales; Bromeliaceae.